Molecule: ribosomal RNA, 549 nt
Filed under: uncultured bacterium
Lineage: Bacteria
Description: bacterial SSU rRNA
Rfam family: Bacterial small subunit ribosomal RNA
Source: RNAcentral
UGGGGAAUUUUGGACAAUGGGCGCAAGCCUGAUCCAGCCAUGCCGCGUGUCUGAAGAAGGCCUUCGGGUUGUAAAGGACUUUUGUCAGGGAAGAAAAGGCUGUUGCUAAUACCGACAGCUGAUGACGGUACCUAAAGAAUAAGCACCGGCUAACUACGUGCCAGCAGCCGCGGUAAUACGUAGGGUGCGAGCGUUAAUCGGAAUUACUGGGCGUAAAGCGAGCGCAGACGGUUACUUAAGCAGGAUGUGAAAUCCCCGGGCUCAACCUGGGAACUGCGUUCUGAACUGGGUGACUAGAGUGUGUCAGAGGGAGGUAGAAUUCCACGUGUAGCAGUGAAAUGCGUAGAGAUGUGGAGGAAUACCGAUGGCGAAGGCAGCCUCCUGGGAUAACACUGACGUUCAUGCUCGAAAGCGUGGGUAGCAAACAGGAUUAGAUACCCUGGUAGUCCACGCCUUAAACGAUGUCAAUUAGCUGUUGGGCAACUUGAUUGCUUAGUAGCGUAGCUAACGCGUGAAAUUGACCGCCUGGGGAGUACGGUCGCAAGAUUA